This 403-nucleotide unclassified non-coding RNA is filed under the name uncultured Pseudoalteromonas sp. Its description in RNAcentral is "partial 16S-23S ribosomal RNA intergenic spacer". The stretch from base 301 to 403 matches the Rfam family "Bacterial large subunit ribosomal RNA", at positions 1 to 102 of the family's 2925-position model. The record is from RNAcentral. Lineage: Bacteria; Pseudomonadati; Pseudomonadota; Gammaproteobacteria; Alteromonadales; Pseudoalteromonadaceae.
CCUCCUUAUACGAUUUAGAACUUAUUUGUUCGUAGUGUCCACACAGAUGAUUGUUAGUUAGUUUUACCCUUUGGGUUCAACUGAUUAAUAUGCUCUUUAAAAAUUUGGAAAAGCUGAUAAUAAAAUUCGUAUGAAUAACAGUGUUAUUUGUACAGAGUUUUCAAAAGUAAAAAAGAAUGAUAGCAGUAUCAUUCAGUGCCAAUUUAAUCAUUUAUGAUUAAUUGGUAUCUACUUUAGUAUUCAAUAUUAACUUCUGGCGAAGUUAAACUGUCACAUAACAAAGACCCGUUUGGGUUGUAUGGUUAAGUGACUAAGCGUACACGGUGGAUGCCUUGGCAGUUGGAGGCGAUGAAGGACGUAUUAACUUGCGAUAAGCCUAGUCAAGCUAGUAAAAAGCGCUUGA